GGAGUUAGCCGGUGCUUCUUCUGUGAGUAACGUCACAGCUAGCAGGUAUUAACUACUAACCUUUCCUCCUCGCUGAAAGUGCUUUACAACCCGAAGGCCUUCUUCACACACGCGGCAUGGCUGCAUCAGGGUUUCCCCCAUUGUGCAAUAUUCCCCACUGCUGCCUCCCGUAGGAGUCUGGGCCGUGUCUCAGUCCCAGUGUGGCUGAUCAUCCUCUCAGACCAGCUAGGGAUCGUUGCCUAGGUGAGCCAUUACCUCACCUACUAGCUAAUCCCACCUGGGCUUAUCCAUCAGCGCAAGGACCGAAGUUCCCCUGCUUUCCCCCGUAGGGCGUAUGCGGUAUUAGCAGUCGUUUCCAACUGUUAUCCCCCACAAAUGGGCAAAUUCCCAGGCAUUACUCACCCGUCCGCCGCUCGUCAUCUUCAAAAGCAAGCUUUUGAAAUGUUACCGCUCGACUUGCAUGUGUUAGGCCUGCCGCCAGCGUUCAAUCUGAGCCAGAAUCAAACUCUGA
Molecule: ribosomal RNA, 511 nt
Filed under: uncultured bacterium
Lineage: Bacteria
Description: partial 16S ribosomal RNA
Source: RNAcentral